This 586-nucleotide ribosomal RNA is filed under the name uncultured bacterium. RNAcentral's name for it is "bacterial SSU rRNA". It matches the Rfam family "Bacterial small subunit ribosomal RNA", at positions 338 to 916 of the family's 1533-position model. The record is from RNAcentral.
CCUACGGGAGGCAGCAGUGGGGAAUUUUGGACAAUGGGGGAAACCCUGAUCCAGCCAUUCCGCGUGUGCGAUGAAGGCCUUCGGGUUGUAAAGCACUUUUGGCAGGAAAGAAAUCGCACAGAUUAAUACUUUGUGUGGAUGACGGUACCUGCAGAAUAAGCACCGGCUAACUACGUGCCAGCAGCCGCGGUAAUACGUAGGGUGCAAGCGUUAAUCGGAAUUACUGGGCGUAAAGCGUGCGCAGGCGGUUCGGAAAGAGAGGUGUGAAAUCCCAGGGCUUAACCUUGGAACUGCACUUUUAACUCCCGAGCUAGAGUAUGUCAGAGGGGGGUGGAAUUCCGCGUGUAGCAGUGAAAUGCGUAGAUAUGCGGAGGAACACCGAUGGCGAAGGCAGCCCCCUGGGAUGAUACUGACGCUCAUGCACGAAAGCGUGGGGAGCAAACAGGAUUAGAUACCCUGGUAGUCCACGCCCUAAACGAUGUCAACUAGCUGUUGGGGGCUUCGGCCCUUAGUAGCGCAGCUAACGCGUGAAGUUGACCGCCUGGGGAGUACGGUCGCAAGAUUAAAACUUAAAUGAAAUUGACGG